AUACUCACUUCCCCAGCACAUAUACUAAACUGGACCGAUAUAAGGAAGACUAGCAUGGCCCUUGUGUGAGGAUGGCAUACAUCCAUGAAGUACUUCAUAGUCUU
Acomys russatus (golden spiny mouse) is the source of this 104-nucleotide small nuclear RNA. Lineage: Eukaryota; Metazoa; Chordata; Mammalia; Rodentia; Muridae. The record is from RefSeq and is a predicted model, not a curated record.